This 551-nucleotide ribosomal RNA is filed under the name uncultured Solirubrobacter sp. RNAcentral describes it as "bacterial SSU rRNA". It matches the Rfam family "Bacterial small subunit ribosomal RNA", at positions 355 to 897 of the family's 1533-position model. The record is from RNAcentral. Lineage: Bacteria; Bacillati; Actinomycetota; Thermoleophilia; Solirubrobacterales; Solirubrobacteraceae.
UGGGGAAUCUUGCGCAAUGCGCGAAAGCGUGACGCAGCAACGCCGCGUGGGGGAAGAAGGCCUUCGGGUUGUAAACCCCUUUCAGUUGGGACGAAGCUCCGUCGGUGAAUAGCCGGCUGGAGUGACGGUACCUUCACAAGAAGCCCCGGCUAACUACGUGCCAGCGGCCGCGGUAAUACGUAGGGGGCUAGCGUUGUCCGGAAUCAUUGGGCGUAAAGAGCGUGUAGGCGGCCCGGUAAGUCCGCUGUGAAAGUCGGGGGCUCAACCCUCGAAAGCCGGUGGAUACUGUCGGGCUAGAGUGCGGAAGAGGCGAGUGGAAUUCCUGGUGUAGCGGUGAAAUGCGCAGAUAUCAGGAGGAACACCGAUUGCGAAGGCAGCUCGCUGGGACGUAACUGACGCUGAGACGCGAAAGCGUGGGGAGCAAACAGGAUUAGAUACCCUGGUAGUCCACGCUGUAAACGAUGGGCACUAGGUGUGGGGGGUGUCGACUCCCUCCGUGCCGAAGCUAACGCAUUAAGUGCCCCGCCUGGGGAGUACGGCCGCAAGGCUAA